AUUGAACGCUGGCGGCAGGCCUAACACAUGCAAGUCGAGCGGCAGCGGGAAAGUAGCUUGCUACUUUUGCCGGCGAGCGGCGGACGGGUGAGUAAUGCCUGGGAAAUUGCCCAGUCGAGGGGGAUAACAGUUGGAAACGACUGCUAAUACCGCAUACGCCCUACGGGGAAAGCAGGGACCGUUCGGGCCGUUGCGCGAUUGGAUAUGCCCAGGUGGGAUUAGCUUGUUGGUGAGGUAAUGGCUCACCAAGGCGACGAUCCCUAGCUGGUCUGAGAGGAUGAUCAGCCACACUGGAACUGAGACACGGUCCAGACUCCUACGGGAGGCAGCAGUGGGGAAUAUUGCACAAUGGGGGAAACCCUGAUGCAGCCAUGCCGCGUGUGUGAAGAAGGCCUCGGUUGGUAAGACGACUUUCUAGCGAGGAGGAAAGGUUAGGA
Molecule: ribosomal RNA, 437 nt
Filed under: uncultured bacterium
Lineage: Bacteria
Description: bacterial SSU rRNA
Rfam family: Bacterial small subunit ribosomal RNA
Source: RNAcentral